Molecule: long non-coding RNA, 377 nt
Filed under: Populus trichocarpa (black cottonwood)
Lineage: Eukaryota; Viridiplantae; Streptophyta; Magnoliopsida; Malpighiales; Salicaceae
Description: long non-coding RNA (PTRI_LNC000438)
Source: RNAcentral
UUUCUAGCUAAUAGUCUUUUUCUCUCAUUCACUCAGUUUCUUUGGGUGCGGACUAGUUGUUUUUGGUCAAGUAAUAAUCUCUUCUUUUGUUCUACUGAAAUUCUUGACGUUUUGGUCGGGAAUAAGUUUAGCUCCUUUUGCUUGUCUAGAAAAUUGAGGGAAAGUAACAGAGAUAAUUUAGAACCCUUUAAGAUUUUUGCCACUAUGGUUUAGUCCUUCACUUUCCUGGAGUUAUGAGAUUCGGUUAAAUGGAAGAAGGGGCUGUUUCUGGUUUUGAGAUUGAGAGAUGGGGUCUUGAAAAGUGGCAUGGCUGGUGGUUGUUUAGGCUAUCAUUGUGUGGGUGGUCGCCAAAAUUCACCAGGGAGAGGAAAUGGGAA